UGUGGGAGCGGGCUUGCUCGCGAAAUCGGUGUGACAUUCAGUAUUAAUGCUGACUGACACUCCGCUUUCGCGAGCAAGCCCGCUCCCACA
Molecule: non-coding RNA, 90 nt
Filed under: Pseudomonas sp. 478
Lineage: Bacteria; Pseudomonadati; Pseudomonadota; Gammaproteobacteria; Pseudomonadales; Pseudomonadaceae
Source: RNAcentral